GAUGAACGCUGGCGGCGUGCCUAAUACAUGCAAGUCGAGCGAACGGACGAGAAGCUUGCUCUUCUGCUGUUAGCGGCGGACGGGUGAGUAACACGUAGAUCACCUACCUCUAAGACUGGGAUAACAUCGGGAAACAGGAGCUACUACCGGAUAAUAUUUUGAACCGCAUGGUUCAAAAGUGAAUGACGGUCUUGCUGUCACUUAUAGAUGGAUCCGCGCUGCAUUAGCUAGUUGGUAAGGUAACGGCUUACCAAGGCAACGAUGCAUAGCCGACCUGAGAGGGUGAUCGGCCACACUGGAACUGAGACACGGUCCAGACUCCUACGGGAGGCAGCAGUAGGGAAUCUUCCGCAAUGGGCGAAAGCCUGACGGAGCAACGCCGCGUGAGUGAUGAAGGUCUUCGGAUCGUAAAGCCCUGUUAUUAGGGAAGAACAGAUGUGUAAGUAACUGUGCACAUCUUGACGGUACCUAAACAGAAAGCCACGGCUAACUUCGUG
RNAcentral lists this ribosomal RNA (497 nucleotides) under uncultured bacterium. Its description in RNAcentral is "partial 16S ribosomal RNA". It matches the Rfam family "Bacterial small subunit ribosomal RNA", at positions 28 to 507 of the family's 1533-position model. The record is from RNAcentral.